AAACUAUGUGUGAUUAUUUAGGAGGCAGUGACCAUGGAAGAUGUAGCUGUUUACUUCACCAAGGAGGAGUGGGCUCUGCUGAAGCCAGCCCAAAGGAAGCUCUACAGAGACGUGAUGUGGGAAACAUUUAGGAUUGUGAGUGCUGUAGGAAGAAGUUUGGAUGAACAGCAAAUUGAACAAGAGCACAAAAAUUCCUUAAGGAUUAUAAGAAAUGAAGAUGCACAAAAACACUAUCAAUUUAAAGCUUGGA
Octodon degus (degu) is the source of this 250-nucleotide long non-coding RNA. RefSeq lists it as uncharacterized. The record is from RefSeq and is a predicted model, not a curated record. The transcript has 3 exons. NCBI's taxonomy places the organism in Eukaryota, Metazoa, Chordata, Mammalia, Rodentia, Octodontidae.